AGUUCUGCGCAGAGGCGAUAUCGUAACCGAUAGGGUUUAUCCGAAGUGCGAUGAUUACUAGUUGAAAACUUUAACCAAUACCUAUCCCGCCACGUGCACGUGAAAUACCGAAUACCGUGUGCUAAGGCAAUUUUUAGAAACCCCUAAGGGGG
Leptinotarsa decemlineata (Colorado potato beetle) is the source of this 152-nucleotide small nuclear RNA. NCBI's taxonomy places the organism in Eukaryota, Metazoa, Arthropoda, Insecta, Coleoptera, Chrysomelidae. The record is from RefSeq and is a predicted model, not a curated record.